RNAcentral lists this ribosomal RNA (815 nucleotides) under Escherichia coli. RNAcentral describes it as "bacterial LSU rRNA". It matches the Rfam family "Bacterial large subunit ribosomal RNA", at positions 377 to 1194 of the family's 2925-position model. Lineage: Bacteria; Pseudomonadati; Pseudomonadota; Gammaproteobacteria; Enterobacterales; Enterobacteriaceae. The record is from RNAcentral.
ACACAAAAAUGCACAUACUGUGAGCUCGAUGAGUAGGGCGGGACACGUGGUAUCCUGUCUGAAUAUGGGGGGACCAUCCUCCAAGGCUAAAUACUCCUGACUGACCGAUAGUGAACCAGUACCGUGAGGGAAAGGCGAAAAGAACCCCGGCGAGGGGAGUGAAAAAGAACCUGAAACCGUGUACGUACAAGCAGUGGGAGCACAGAGCAAUCUGUGUGACUGCGUACCUUUUGUAUAAUGGGUCAGCGACUUAUAUUCUGUAGCAAGGUUAACCGAAUAGGGGAGCCGAAGGGAAACCGAGUCUUAACUGGGCGUUAAGUUGCAGGGUAUAGACCCGAAACCCGGUGAUCUAGCCAUGGGCAGGUUGAAGGUUGGGUAACACUAACUGGAGGACCGAACCGACUAAUGUUGAAAAAUUAGCGGAUGACUUGUGGCUGGGGGUGAAAGGCCAAUCAAACCGGGAGAUAGCUGGUUCUCCCCGAAAGCUAUUUAGGUAGCGCCUCGUGAAUUCAUCUCCGGGGGUAGAGCACUGUUUCGGCAAGGGGGUCAUCCCGACUUACCAACCCGAUGCAAACUGCGAAUACCGGAGAAUGUUAUCACGGGAGACACACGGCGGGUGCUAACGUCCGUCGUGAAGAGGGAAACAACCCAGACCGCCAGCUAAGGUCCCAAAGUCAUGGUUAAGUGGGAAACGAUGUGGGAAGGCCCAGACAGCCAGGAUGUUGGCUUAGAAGCAGCCAUCAUUUAAAGAAAGCGUAAUAGCUCACUGGUCGAGUCGGCCUGCGCGGAAGAUGUAACGGGGCUAAACCAUGCAC